CUUUGGAGUAUCACAUCAAGUGAAAGUAGCUUGUUGUAGUUUGACUUGCAAAAUCAGAUACGUUGAAAAAGAAA
Molecule: small RNA, 74 nt
Filed under: uncultured Romboutsia sp.
Lineage: Bacteria; Bacillati; Bacillota; Clostridia; Peptostreptococcales; Peptostreptococcaceae
Description: RAGATH-18 RNA
Rfam family: RAGATH-18 RNA
About the family: Actinobacteria, Firmicutes, Fusobacteria, Thermotogae (1 example). Nearby to self-cleaving ribozyme genes
Source: RNAcentral